UUUCCUACGGGGGGCUGCAGUGGGGAAUAUUGGACAAUGGGCGAAAGCCUGAUCCAGCCAUGCCGCGUGUGUGAAGAAGGUCUUCGGAUUGUAAAGCACUUUAAGUUGGGAGGAAGGGCAGUAAGCUAAUACCUUGCUGUUUUGACGUUACCAACAGAAUAAGCACCGGCUAACUCUGUGCCAGCAGCCGCGGUAAUACAGAGGGUGCAAGCGUUAAUCGGAAUUACUGGGCGUAAAGCGCGCGUAGGUGGUUCAGCAAGUUGGAUGUGAAAUCCCCGGGCUCAACCUGGGAACUGCAUCCAAAACUACUGAGCUAGAGUACGGUAGAGGGUGGUGGAAUUUCCUGUGUAGCGGUGAAAUGCGUAGAUAUAGGAAGGAACACCAGUGGCGAAGGCGACCACCUGGACUGAUACUGACACUGAGGUGCGAAAGCGUGGGGAGCAAACAGGAUUAGAUACCCCAGUAGUCA
Molecule: ribosomal RNA, 469 nt
Filed under: uncultured Pseudomonas sp.
Lineage: Bacteria; Pseudomonadati; Pseudomonadota; Gammaproteobacteria; Pseudomonadales; Pseudomonadaceae
Description: bacterial SSU rRNA
Rfam family: Bacterial small subunit ribosomal RNA
Source: RNAcentral